RNAcentral lists this ribosomal RNA (578 nucleotides) under uncultured bacterium. Its description in RNAcentral is "partial 16S ribosomal RNA". It matches the Rfam family "Bacterial small subunit ribosomal RNA", at positions 355 to 923 of the family's 1533-position model. The record is from RNAcentral.
UGGGGAAUUUUGGACAAUGGGCGAAAGCCUGAUCCAGCAAUGCCGCGUGUGUGAAGAAGGCCUUCGGGUUGUAAAGCACUUUUGUCCGGAAAGAAAUCCUUGGCUCUAAUACAGUCGGGGGAUGACGGUACCGGAAGAAUAAGCACCGGCUAACUACGUGCCAGCAGCCGCGGUAAUACGUAGGGUGCAAGCGUUAAUCGGAAUUACUGGGCGUAAAGCGUGCGCAGGCGGUUUGCUAAGACCGAUGUGAAAUCCCCGGGCUCAACCUGGGAACUGCAUUGGUGACUGGCAGGCUAGAGUAUGGCAGAGGGGGGUAGAAUCCCACGUGUAGCAGUGAAAUGCGUAGAGAUGUGGAGGAAUACCGAUGGCGAAGGCAGCCCCCUGGGCCAAUACUGACGCUCAUGCACGAAAGCGUGGGGGAGCAAACAGGAUUAGAUACCCUGGUAGUCCACGCCCUAAAACGAUGUCAACUAGUUGUUGGGGGAUUCAUUUCCUUAGUAACGUAGCUAACGCGUGAAGUUGACCGCCUGGGGAGUACGGUCGCAAGAUUAAAACUCAAAUGAAUUGACGGGGUCAUA